Molecule: transfer RNA, 84 nt
Filed under: Solirubrobacterales bacterium 67-14
Lineage: Bacteria; Bacillati; Actinomycetota; Thermoleophilia; Solirubrobacterales
Also listed under: 3 other names
Description: tRNA-Leu
Rfam family: tRNA
About the family: Transfer RNA (tRNA) molecules are approximately 80 nucleotides in length. Their secondary structure includes four short double-helical elements and three loops (D, anti-codon, and T loops).
Source: RNAcentral
GCGGCGGUGGCGGAACUGGUAUACGCGACGGACUCAAAAUCCGUUGCCCGCAAGGGCGUGUGGGUUCGAUUCCCACCCGCCGCA